GAUGAACGCUGGCGGCGUGCCUAAUACAUGCAAGUCGAGCGAACAGAUGAGGAGCUUGCUCCUCUGACGUUAGCGGCUGACGGGUGAGUAACACGUGGAUAACCUACCUAUAAGACUGGGAUAACUUCGGGAAACCGGAGCUAAUACCGGAUAAUAUAUUGAACCGCAUGGUUCAAUAGUGAAAGACGGUUUUGCUGUCACUUAUAGAUGGAUCCGCGCCGCAUUAGCUAGUUGGUAAGGUAACGGCUUACCAAGGCAACGAUGCGUAGCCGACCUGAGAGGGUGAUCGGCCACACUGGAACUGAGACACGGUCCAGACUCCUACGGGAGGCAGCAGUAGGGAAUCUUCCGCAAUGGGCGAAAGCCUGACGGAGCAACGCCGCGUGAGUGAUGAAGGUCUUCGGAUCGUAAAACUCUGUUAUUAGGGAAGAACAAAUGUGUAAGUAACUAUGCACGUCUUGACGGUACCUAAUCAGAAAGCCACGGCUAACUACGUG
This 497-nucleotide ribosomal RNA is filed under the name uncultured bacterium. RNAcentral's name for it is "partial 16S ribosomal RNA". It matches the Rfam family "Bacterial small subunit ribosomal RNA", at positions 28 to 507 of the family's 1533-position model. The record is from RNAcentral.